RNAcentral lists this ribosomal RNA (466 nucleotides) under uncultured bacterium. Its description in RNAcentral is "partial 16S ribosomal RNA". It matches the Rfam family "Bacterial small subunit ribosomal RNA", at positions 28 to 507 of the family's 1533-position model. The record is from RNAcentral.
GAUGAACGCUGGCGGCGUGCUUAACACAUGCAAGUCGAACGAUGAAGCCCAGCUUGCUGGGUGGAUUAGUGGCGAACGGGUGAGUAACACGUGAGUAACCUGCCCUUAACUCUGGGAUAAGCCUGGGAAACUGGGUCUAAUACCGGAUAGGAGCGCCUACCGCAUGGUGGGUGUUGGAAAGAUUUAUCGGUUUUGGAUGGACUCGCGGCCUAUCAGCUUGUUGGUGAGGUAAUGGCUCACCAAGGCGACGACGGGUAGCCGGCCUGAGAGGGUGACCGGCCACACUGGGACUGAGACACGGCCCAGACUCCUACGGGAGGCAGCAGUGGGGAAUAUUGCACAAUGGGCGAAAGCCUGAUGCAGCGACGCCGCGUGAGGGAUGACGGCCUUCGGGUUGUAAACCUCUUUCAGUAGGGAAGAAGCGAAAGUGACGGCACCUGCAGAAGAAGCACCGGCUAACUACGUG